CCUACGGGAGGCAGCAGUGAGGAAUAUUGGUCAAUGGGCGAGAGCCUGAACCAGCCAAGUCGCGUGAAGGAUGACGGCCCUACGGGUUGUAAACUUCUUUUGUCAGGGAACAAUUGGGUCCACGCGUGGGCUUAGGGAGGGUACCUGAAGAAAAAGCAUCGGCAAACUCCGUGCCAGCAGCCGCGGUAAAACGAAGGAUGCAAGCGUUAUCCGGAUUUAUUGGGUGUAAGGGGUGCGUAGGCGGAAUAUAAAGUCAGCGGUAAAAAUUCGGGGCUCAACGCCGUCGUGCCGUUGAAACUGAUGUUCUUGAGUGGGCGAGAAGUAGGCGGAAUGCGUGGUGUAGCGGUGAAAUGCAUAGAUAUCACGCAGAACUCCGAUUGCGAAGGCAGCAUACCGGCGCCCCACUGACGCUGAAGCACGAAAGCGUGGGUAUCGAACAGGAUUAGAUACCCUUGUAGUC
RNAcentral lists this ribosomal RNA (460 nucleotides) under uncultured bacterium. Its description in RNAcentral is "partial 16S ribosomal RNA". It matches the Rfam family "Bacterial small subunit ribosomal RNA", at positions 338 to 795 of the family's 1533-position model. The record is from RNAcentral.